AGAGUUUGAUCAUGGCUCAGAUUGAACGCUGGCGGCAGGCCUAACACAUGCAAGUCGAGCGGUAGCACAGAGAGCUUGCUCUCGGGUGACGAGCGGCGGACGGGUGAGUAAUGUCUGGGAAACUGCCUGAUGGAGGGGGAUAACUACUGGAAACGGUAGCUAAUACCGCAUAAUGUCGCAAGACCAAAGUGGGGGACCUUCGGGCCUCAUGCCAUCAGAUGUGCCCAGAUGGGAUUAGCUAGUAGGUGAGGUAACGGCUCACCUAGGCGACGAUCCCUAGCUGGUCUGAGAGGAUGACCAGCCACACUGGAACUGAGACACGGUCCAGACUCCUACGGGAGGCAGCAGUGGGGAAUAUUGCACAAUGGGCGCAAGCCUGAUGCAGCCAUGCCGCGUGUGUGAAGAAGGCCUUCGGGUUGUAAAGCACUUUCAGCGGGGAGGAAGGCGAUAAGGUUAAUAACCUUGUCGAUUGACGUUACCCGCAGAAGAAGCACCGGCUAACUCCGUGCCAGCAGCCGCGGUAAUACGGAGGGUGCAAGCGUUAAUCGGAAUUACUGGGCGUAAAGCGCACGCAGGCGGUCUGUCAAGUCGGAUGUGAAAUCCCCGGGCUCAACCUGGGAACUGCAUUCGAAACUGGCAGGCUAGAGUCUUGUAGAGGGGGGUAGAAUUCCAGGUGUAGCGGUGAAAUGCGUAGAGAUCUGGAGGAAUACCGGUGGCGAAGGCGGCCCCCUGGACAAAGACUGACGCUCAGGUGCGAAAGCGUGGGGAGCAAACAGGAUUAGAUACCCUGGUAGUCCACGCCGUAAACGAUGUCGAUUUGGAGGUUGUGCCCUUGAGGCGUGGCUUCCGGAGCUAACGCGUUAAAUCGACUGCCUGGGGAC
RNAcentral lists this ribosomal RNA (881 nucleotides) under uncultured bacterium. Its description in RNAcentral is "bacterial SSU rRNA". It matches the Rfam family "Bacterial small subunit ribosomal RNA", at positions 8 to 880 of the family's 1533-position model. The record is from RNAcentral.